AAAUAAUAUGAAAAAAUAGAUGAAAAUUUGUGGAGGGGUGGUGGAGUUCACAGCUGAUCUUCUGCAGCCCACCCAGCCUAUGGAUGCAAGUGAACGAAAGCACUGACCCCAGACAGGCACUGCAUCUCCACACAGCCUCCUCUGCGUGCUCUGCUACCUCACCUGCGAGCUCACAAAGCUGAUACUCUCCCUCCUUCUCUCCUGAGAACCUGCUCUAGCAUCCAGACUUUAUGAACGUGGGGCAGGAAGCCCCAAGGAGAGGAGGCUUGCUGCUCAGCAGCACACACACCACGGGACAGGGAAGAUGCUGUUCCCACUCCCCACAGGCCUUGAGCCCAUUGCCAGCCUCUCCACAGACACCUCCAUCUCCAGAUCCCAUGGUCUGCUUGAAGUCAGUGCUAGACCCUGUGGAGCAGAGCUAUCAACACUAGCCUCACCCAAGAGCUCAGCAGAAAAAGCAGUACCUUGCCCUGCUGGGACCACAGCGGGGGCUCCAGCUGGCCACGGGGCAGGAGCCCAUUUUCCAGGCAGGACAGGAAGGCGAGGAGGUGCCCUCCUUGGGGGAA
Molecule: non-coding RNA, 566 nt
Organism: Taeniopygia guttata (zebra finch)
Lineage: Eukaryota; Metazoa; Chordata; Aves; Passeriformes; Estrildidae
Source: RefSeq, a predicted model, not a curated record